RNAcentral lists this long non-coding RNA (540 nucleotides) under Cricetulus griseus (Chinese hamster). RNAcentral's name for it is "lncRNA (ENSCGRG00015036940.1)". The record is from RNAcentral. Lineage: Eukaryota; Metazoa; Chordata; Mammalia; Rodentia; Cricetidae.
UGUGUGCGCACACUUGUGGAGGCCAUAGAUCAAUGUCAGAAUCAAUGCUUAGAAUCUAAACCAGGCUAGCAAGCCAGAGUCCAGGUGUGAAUGUCAGAGAACAACUUGUGGGAGAUGAUUCCCUCCUUCCAUGGUUCGGGUUCCAGGUUCAAACUCAGAUCAUUAACCUUGACGGAGGAUACGGUGCAACUAUCAUCAGUUAUCCUGAAUCCGGGUUCAUCCGACACCAGCCACCUCCACCAUGCCACCCAAGUUCGAUCCCAAUGAGAUCAAAGUCAUGUACUUGAGGUGCACCGAAGGUGAGAGGACAGGAUGCUCCUUCCCAGAACCCACAAGGCCACUCACACCAUUUGUAACUCCAGGGGAUCUGAUGCCCUCUUCUGACCUCCUCAGCAGCCCUGUGUGAUGGCCUCGAAUCCCAGCACUCUAGAGAUAGAAACAGACAAGACCUCUGUGAGUUGGAGGCUAGCCUUUUUGACUCAGUGAGUUCCAGGUCAGUCUGGACAAUAUAAGACUCUGUCCCACAAUAAAUAAGUAAAU